UGGGGAAUAUUGCACAAUGGGCGCAAGCCUGAUGCAGCCAUGCCGCGUGUGUGAAGAAGGCCUUCGGGUUGUAAAGCACUUUCAGCGAGGAGGAAGGUGGUGAACUUAAUACGUUCAUCAAUUGACGUUACUCGCAGAAGAAGCACCGGCUAACUCCGUGCCAGCAGCCGCGGUAAUACGGAGGGUGCAAGCGUUAAUCGGAAUUACUGGGCGUAAAGCGCACGCAGGCGGUUUGUUAAGUCAGNUGUGAAAUCCCCGGGCUCAACCUGGGAACUGCAUUUGAAACUGGCAAGCUAGAGUCUCGUAGAGGGGGGUAGAAUUCCAGGUGUAGCGGUGAAAUGCGUAGAGAUCUGGAGGAAUACCGGUGGCGAAGGCGGCCCCCUGGACGAAGACUGACGCUCAGGUGCGAAA
Molecule: ribosomal RNA, 411 nt
Filed under: uncultured bacterium
Lineage: Bacteria
Description: partial 16S ribosomal RNA
Rfam family: Bacterial small subunit ribosomal RNA
Source: RNAcentral